This 2902-nucleotide ribosomal RNA is filed under the name Salmonella enterica subsp. enterica serovar Hartford. Its description in RNAcentral is "bacterial LSU rRNA". It matches the Rfam family "Bacterial large subunit ribosomal RNA". The record is from RNAcentral. Lineage: Bacteria; Pseudomonadati; Pseudomonadota; Gammaproteobacteria; Enterobacterales; Enterobacteriaceae.
UUAAGCGACUAAGCGUACACGGUGGAUGCCCUGGCAGUCAGAGGCGAUGAAGGGCGUGCUAAUCUGCGAUAAGCGCCGGUAAGGUGAUAUGAACCGUUAUAACCGACGAUACCCGAAUGGGGAAACCCAGUGUGACUCGUCACACUAUCAUUAACUGAAUCCAUAGGUUAAUGAGGCGAACCGGGGGAACUGAAACAUCUAAGUACCCCGAGGAAAAGAAAUCAACCGAGAUUCCCCCAGUAGCGGCGAGCGAACGGGGAGGAGCCCAGAGCCUGAAUCAGCAUGUGUGUUAGUGGAAGCGUCUGGAAAGGCGCGCGAUACAGGGUGACAGCCCCGUACACAAAAGCGCAUGUGCUGUGAGCUCGAUGAGUAGGGCGGGACACGUGGUAUCCUGUCUGAAUAUGGGGGGGACCAUCCUCCAAGGCUAAAUACUCCUGACUGACCGAUAGUGAACCAGUACCGUGAGGGAAAGGCGAAAAGAACCCCGGCGAGGGGAGUGAAAAAGAACCUGAAACCGUGUACGUACAAGCAGUGGGAGCACAGGUUUACCUGUGUGACUGCGUACCUUUUGUAUAAUGGGUCAGCGACUUAUAUUCUGUAGCAAGGUUAACCGCAUAGGGGAGCCGGAGGGAAACCGAGUCUUAAUUGGGCGUUAAGUUGCAGGGUAUAGACCCGAAACCCGGUGAUCUAGCCAUGGGCAGGUUGAAGGUUGGGGUAACACUAACUGGAGGACCGAACCGACUAAUGUUGAAAAAUUAGCGGAUGACCUGUGGCUGGGGGUGAAAGGCCAAUCAAACCGGGAGAUAGCUGGUUCUCCCCGAAAGCUAUUUAGGUAGCGCCUCGUGAACUCAUCUCCGGGGUAGAGCACUGUUUCGGCUAGGGGGCCAUCCCGGCUUACCAACCCGAUGCAAACUGCGAAUACCGGAGAAUGUUAUCACGGAGACACACGGCGGGUGCUAACGUCCGUCGUGAAGAGGGAAACAACCCAGACCGCCAGCUAAGGUCCCAAAGUCAUGGUUAAGUGGGAAACGAUGUGGGAAGGCCCAGACAGCCAGGAUGUUGGCUUAGAAGCAGCCAUCAUUUAAAGAAAGCGUAAUAGCUCACUGGUCGAGUCGGCCUGCGCGGAAGAUGUAACGGGGCUAAACCAUGCACCGAAGCUGCGGCAGCGACGCUUAUGCGUUGUUGGGUAGGGGAGCGUUCUGUAAGCCUGUGAAGGUGGCCUGUGAGGGUUGCUGGAGGUAUCAGAAGUGCGAAUGCUGACAUAAGUAACGAUAAAGCGGGUGAAAAGCCCGCUCGCCGGAAGACCAAGGGUUCCUGUCCAACGUUAAUCGGGGCAGGGUGAGUCGACCCUAAGGCGAGGCCGAAAGGCGUAGUCGAUGGGAAACGGGUUAAUAUUCCCGUACUUGGUGUUACUGCGAAGGGGGACGGAGAAGGCUAUGUUGGCCGGGCGACGGUUGUCCCGGUUUAAGCGUGUAGGCUGGUUUUCCAGGCAAAUCCGGAAAAUCAAGGCUGAGGCGUGACGACGAGGCACUACGGUGCUGAAGCAACAAAUGCCCUGCUUCCAGGAAAAGCCUCUAAGCAUCAGGUAACAUCAAAUCGUACCCCAAACCGACACAGGUGGUCAGGUAGAGAAUACCAAGGCGCUUGAGAGAACUCGGGUGAAGGAACUAGGCAAAAUGGUGCCGUAACUUCGGGAGAAGGCACGCUGACACGUAGGUGAAGUGAUUUACUCAUGGAGCUGAAGUCAGUCGAAGAUACCAGCUGGCUGCAACUGUUUAUUAAAAACACAGCACUGUGCAAACACGAAAGUGGACGUAUACGGUGUGACGCCUGCCCGGUGCCGGAAGGUUAAUUGAUGGGGUCAGCGCAAGCGAAGCUCCUGAUCGAAGCCCCGGUAAACGGCGGCCGUAACUAUAACGGUCCUAAGGUAGCGAAAUUCCUUGUCGGGUAAGUUCCGACCUGCACGAAUGGCGUAAUGAUGGCCAGGCUGUCUCCACCCGAGACUCAGUGAAAUUGAACUCGCUGUGAAGAUGCAGUGUACCCGCGGCAAGACGGAAAGACCCCGUGAACCUUUACUAUAGCUUGACACUGAACAUUGAGCCUUGAUGUGUAGGAUAGGUGGGAGGCUUUGAAGUGUGGACGCCAGUCUGCAUGGAGCCGACCUUGAAAUACCACCCUUUAAUGUUUGAUGUUCUAACGUGGACCCGUUACCCGGGUUGCGGACAGUGUCUGGUGGGUAGUUUGACUGGGGCGGUCUCCUCCUAAAGAGUAACGGAGGAGCACGAAGGUUGGCUAAUCCUGGUCGGACAUCAGGAGGUUAGUGCAAUGGCAUAAGCCAGCUUGACUGCGAGCGUGACGGCGCGAGCAGGUGCGAAAGCAGGUCAUAGUGAUCCGGUGGUUCUGAAUGGAAGGGCCAUCGCUCAACGGAUAAAAGGUACUCCGGGGAUAACAGGCUGAUACCGCCCAAGAGUUCAUAUCGACGGCGGUGUUUGGCACCUCGAUGUCGGCUCAUCACAUCCUGGGGCUGAAGUAGGUCCCAAGGGUAUGGCUGUUCGCCAUUUAAAGUGGUACGCGAGCUGGGUUUAGAACGUCGUGAGACAGUUCGGUCCCUAUCUGCCGUGGGCGCUGGAGAACUGAGGGGGGCUGCUCCUAGUACGAGAGGACCGGAGUGGACGCAUCACUGGUGUUCGGGUUGUCAUGCCAAUGGCACUGCCCGGUAGCUAAAUGCGGAAGAGAUAAGUGCUGAAAGCAUCUAAGCACGAAACUUGCCCCGAGAUGAGUUCUCCCUGAGACUUAGAGUCUCCUGAAGGAACGUUGAAGACGACGACGUUGAUAGGCCGGGUGUGUAAGCGCAGCGAUGCGUUGAGCUAACCGGUACUAAUGAACCGUGAGGCUUAACCUU